GUAGUGAGUUAUUGCGCUUCAGAGCAGCAGCACCGCUUCUGAGGAUGCGGUGACAGCAUCAGUCACAUUUCUAGUAGAAAACGAAAGAUCAGUCUGUCUGAGAGUCAUUUGGAUUUCGCGAGAGUUUGAUCCGAGCGCUUUUACGUCUCCUUCCGCUUGAUGAAUACACCCCCUUUGUCAACCUGCUGGGGGCCUAAAAGUGAAGCAGCAGCCGGCUUUAUGAAUGGGGAUGCUCGUUUCACAAGCUGACUGCAACUGAGGAGCAUCAAUAUUCCUUUCAAGUUCUCCAAAAGGGAGUGUAUUCAAGAUUUAGAAGCUCUUUGUGACACCUUUGUGCAAAACAAAAUUGCUAGUCAGUCACCAUGCCAAUCCUAAAACAGCUAGUGUCUGGCUCCUCUCAGACCAAGCGUCGCUCACGCAUGGACCUGACCAGGGAGAUGAUCAGUGCUCCGCUGGGUGACUUCCGCCACACCAUGCAUGUAGGUCGCAGCGGUGAUGCAUUCGGAGACACCUCCUUCCUCAGCACCCGCUCAGGAGAACCUCCCCCUGAGAACACAUUUUUCCCCCGCUCUCCCCGGCCCGGCCUCCUGUCUCGCACCUUCAGGAGCAGCAAACGCUCCCAGUCGGUGACCAGAGUGGACAACGCCCUGGUGACCCCCGGUGGGUCCCCCACCUAUGUGAAGAACGCCAUGUCUCUGCCGUUCCUCAAUGAUGAAGACAGAGGGGACAGUAUGGUGGCAAAGAGCUUGUCCUCUAGUCCUUUAAAACAACACGGGGAGGUGGAUGAGAGAGGCGCCGCUGCAGCUGCUCACAUCCUGGAGCUGGAAGAGCGGCGCUUUGGUGAGCUGACUGAGCUCCCAGAGAGCUCCCACCACUACGGAGGCGGCAUGAAGCACGCCGAAUCAGUAAUGUCUUUCCAUGUCGACUUGGGACCAUCCAUGCUGGGAGACAUCCUUGGGGUCAUGGAGAAGGAGGAAGAUGAUCUCGGCUAUGAGGAGGGCAAGAGCAGCGAGGGCCGUGCCUCGCCACCUCUCAGCACCCACGGUGAGGAAGAGGAUAGUGUGGAGAGAGAAAAAGAUGAGGAUGCAGAGGAGGAGAUGGAGGCAGAGGAGGAAGCAGCAGAACCUCAGCAGCAGGCCUCUGUGCGUCCAGCCAGCUCUGUAGAUCUGGGGCCUGAGAAUGGAGGGCCCUACACCCCAGAGUACACCCCCGAGACUCGGCCUAAACACUUGCAGCAUCUAGACAGCUGCUCCAUGUCCAGCUCUGGCUCUGCUGCCUUGGAUGAGAAACCAAACAGCCAGACCUAUGCAGGAGACACAGAUAGCGCCACCUUCAGUGCCCCGCCAGAGGAAGAGAGCAACUUCUCUUCUUUCUUGGAGGAUGAAGAUGAUGAGAUUCGCGUAUGAGAUUCCAAAGCCUUGAAAAAAAAAAAAAAUAGCACAGAGCUGUGGAAGGGGUUUAUGUGAAGCUUGCAAGUCCUUUGACAGUGUGGAUUUGCACUUGAACGGAAAUAAGACACUUUUGUCGGGUACUGUGGGAAUGGGUCUGUGAAAAUGACGGAGGACUCUAACUUUGUAGGUCUGCAAGGAGAGAGUGACUGCUCCUUUUGGAGGAGCCCAAACUCCAUCUGUCAGAGAGCCUCACCCUCCACUGUCUGUCAAUCCGUCUCUCCCUUUUGAAUGCUGAGGGAACUGACAUGGAAGAGCAGCCACUCUUUGAAUAUGGAACAUUCCAGAAACAGGCUGAGGUUUUCCUCCAGGAGUGCAAGACACAGCACUACGGAUAUUGGUGUUAACAGGAGCAGCGAACAUAAACAUUCCAGUACCCGGUGUUGACCUCUUGACCUCUAAACCCUGGAACUGCAGGGCCGGCAGCAGAAGACCACACACACAUGAUGGGAGGGGGAGCGGGGAGGACGUGGAAUGUCUCCGGUGUCCUUGCCUUGAAGAGCUUAAGAUGCCUGUGCUGAAGACUGUGAAAAAUUAGCCCAUCCUCUCCUAACAUCAGCAGUGUUUCCCCGCUCUGGGAUUGUUGCAGGUAUGUCA
Molecule: non-coding RNA, 2045 nt
Organism: Plectropomus leopardus (leopard coralgrouper)
Lineage: Eukaryota; Metazoa; Chordata; Actinopteri; Perciformes; Serranidae
Source: RefSeq, a predicted model, not a curated record